Molecule: ribosomal RNA, 587 nt
Filed under: Thaxterogaster herpeticus
Lineage: Eukaryota; Fungi; Basidiomycota; Agaricomycetes; Agaricales; Cortinariaceae
Description: eukaryotic LSU rRNA
Rfam family: 5.8S ribosomal RNA (bases 219-372)
Source: RNAcentral
UGGCUCUCUAGGGAGCAUGUGCACACUUGUCAUCUUUAUAUCUCCACCUGUGCACCUUUUGUAGAUCUGGAUAUCUCUCUGAGUGCCUAGCUAGCCAUUCAGGUUUGAGGAUUGACUUUAUUGUCUCUCCUUACAUUUCCAGGCCUAUGUUUCUUCAUAUACCCCAAUGUAUGUCAUAGAAUGUAAUAAAAUGGGCCUUUGUGCCUAUAAAUCUAUACAACUUUCAGCAACGGAUCUCUUGGCUCUCGCAUCGAUGAAGAACGCAGCGAAAUGCGAUAAGUAAUGUGAAUUGCAGAAUUCAGUGAAUCAUCGAAUCUUUGAACGCACCUUGCGCUCCUUGGUAUUCUGAGGAGCAUGCCUGUUUGAGUGUCAUUAAUAUAUCAACCUCUACAACUUUUGUUUGUUGAGUUGUUGGAUGUGGGGGCUUUGCUGGCUUCUCUCUCUGAGGUCAGCUCCCCUGAAAUACAUUAGCGGAAUGAUCUCCGUUCAUUGGUGUGAUAACUAUCUACGCUAUUGACGUGAAGUAGUUUGGCUUAUAACAGUCCAUUGACUUGGACAAAUUUUCAUUAAUGUGACCUCAAAUCAGG